Molecule: long non-coding RNA, 2100 nt
Organism: Gadus morhua (Atlantic cod)
Lineage: Eukaryota; Metazoa; Chordata; Actinopteri; Gadiformes; Gadidae
Source: Ensembl
CGAAUUGCGGUGCCGGAGGCGAGAGCGUGAAACAGCAGCAGGGUCCACGUGGAAAUUUGCCUGAUAUUCGGCUCAACAUUCAAAGACCGAUUCUAGCAGACCAGACUAAUGUGCUGACAAGCGGUAGUUUUGUACCUAUCGAGGCCAAUGUCAUUCAGCGAACCCCCGGACCAAAUCGACUGUCCAAGAAGAAUUUGAAAAGAUUGGCGGGGGUAGUGGUGGCUAUACCCUGUACACCACUGGCCAUAGAACAGCUACAAAUUCCUUAUAAAAAGGCUCGCAAGGAUGCCACACAUAAUGGUUUAACUCCGGAGUCAUAAAUCCGCAAAUUGCGCCACAUGGAGCGGCAUGGACUGAUCCCAAACACCGUGUGAUCGGGGACGUGGAGGUGUAUGUGCAUGAGUCGCCUACAGAGACCGUCACUGUGCAACCGGAUGGGACUAUACAGCACGCCCAUGGAGAUCCCCAGUGUGCGCCACCACCAGAGCUGACCGCCGACGAUUGGACUGGUCUUGACGACAUCUCGUCCUGGACUUCAUCGUUGUUGGAACAUAUCGACUUCACUCCUGCGCAGUGGAUCGACUCUCCAGCUACAUCCGUAGAGGCUACCACCAGUGCAGAGCCUGUACAACACCAUCAGCCUGCAGAUCCUGCAUCUGGACCCCUACAAGCCAUUCAAGACCCUAUCAGCGACCCCCCGUGCACCGUGAGUCCCAUCGCUCAUGAGGUAGCGGUGCCGAGGCUACCAGCCGGUCCCGCAAUUGCUGUUGAUGAACACCAUGCAGGGGUGCAAGGUGAUAAAUGGCGUAAACAAUUUGCUGAUAAACUAGCUGUGUUAACUGCGUCGGUAGAUGUAAACUCCUUAGGCAUUGCUCGUCAGCGUAAACUGGGGGUGGAGGCUGGUAAACGUGUUGACAGUAUAUAUCAGAAGCUCGAAGAACAGACGAAGAAGUCCUUCACGGCUCUCAGGGCCGAGAUUGCGCGUGAUCGUAUGACUGCUGAAUCCCCAAACACUGAGACCAGUAAUGGUCGUGCUAUCGUUGCCCUUCAGCGUAAGCAUUUGGAUGCCGUGGCAGCUGUGCGUGUCAACACGCAGGGCAUAGUGAGAAUUAACGCGCAAGAGGGGUUAAGAGCUGCUAAAACCGCUCGAAAAUUCUGGUUAAUGCAAUCUGCUAGCGAAGCCAGCGUCAAUGCCUAUCGGGCAAUGAGUACCGAGAUGUCUGUGAUUAAUGAAACACUAGCAAAGCUUACGAUGAAUGCUAUUAUUUGAUUUGUGUUUUUGUUUUUUAAUGUUUUUUUCUUUUAUUUCAUGGAGAGGGUAUCUUUUGUUUUAAACUGCAUGUAAUAAAACUUUUUUUCUUUUAAUACCUGACUACUUAACGUUUUUUUUUUUUGUUUUUUUUUUAAAUAUUAUUAUUUAUAUAUAUAUAUAUAUAUAUAUAUUUUUUUUUUUUCUAUCUAUUGGCAUAAAAACUAUAGCUGUACACUAUGCAUAACGCCAUUAGCCCUAGAAAAAGGAAGACGGUAAUCCCAAGAGACGGCGUAGAUCUGAUAGUGGGGGUAGCAUUAUGGAUUUAGAACUUGAAGAGAUGGCAAUGAGGUAUGACGCAACCGGCGAUACGUCUCAUUUGUCGGCCGUAGGACAUGUGGGGGGUGGGGGCAUGUAUGCAGAAGGUUGUUUAGACAUGCGGGAAAUGUGUGUUGGCAUAGAUAGAACUAGGCGUGUGUUAAUUGCAGCUGAUGCAUGGGGGCAUAGCAUGGCUAAUGCUCUAUAUCAGGCAGCACAGAUAAAUGUUUCGAACGAAUCAGGUCUAGAUGAGAUGGUGGGGCUAGAGGCGCCAGGAGAUUUAGACACUAGGGGUGUGUUGUAUGCGGGGGCAAACACACGAAAGGUACUUAACGCUGUCGGGGGGUGGUUGGAUAGUGCACGAGAGUCUAUACAUAUCAGCGCAGAUCGAUGUAUUGCAUGGGUCGCAAUGUGAUGAAGGGAUUGGCGAGGGUUUUCAGGACCCCCCGGCUGUGGCAGGGGUCCCUAUAGAGUCGAAUAUACAGGUCGGUGGGGGCGGUGUGGGGGGUGGUGGCGGUAGUUGCGUGGGGGGC